RNAcentral lists this ribosomal RNA (468 nucleotides) under uncultured bacterium. RNAcentral describes it as "partial 16S ribosomal RNA". It matches the Rfam family "Bacterial small subunit ribosomal RNA", at positions 28 to 507 of the family's 1533-position model. The record is from RNAcentral.
GACGAACGCUGGCGGCGUGCUUAACACAUGCAAGUCGAACGGAAAGGCCCUGCUUUUGUGGGGUGCUCGAGUGGCGAACGGGUGAGUAACACGUGAGUAACCUGCCCUUGACUUUGGGAUAACUUCAGGAAACUGGGGCUAAUACCGGAUAGGAGCUCCUGCUGCAUGGUGGGGGUUGGAAAGUUUCGGCGGUGGGGGAUGGACUCGCGGCUUAUCAGCUUGUUGGUGGGGCAGUGGCUUACCAAGGCGUUGACGGGUAGCCGGGCUGAGAGGGUGAGCGGCCACAUUGGGACUGUGAUACGGCCCAGACUCCUCCGGGAGGCAGCGGUGGGGAAUAUUGCACAAUGGGCGGAAGCCUGAUGCAGCAACACCGCGUGCGGGAUGACGGCCUUCGGGUUGUAAACCGCUUUCGCCGGUGACGAAGCGUGAGUGACGGUAAUGGGUAAAGAAGCACCGGCUAACUACGUG